AUAAAUAAAGGUGAACAAACAUUUCUAAAAGUGCUGUAUUAGAUGCCAUCCUGAAGAGCAGUGUGUAUAUUCACUCUGAUUGUAAACUGCUUUGACUAAUGAUACAUUUGAUUAGAAGCACCUAGUAUGUUUGACUAAUGAGAAAGCAAUCAUGUGACGUCCAUCUCUUGAUCAUGCACUGCAUCAGGCCUGAGAAAGAGAACACGGUUCCAAACGCAGCUCAGAGCAACUUCCUGUUGUUCCACCAUUGAUAACUAAUGUGAUGUUCCUCUACAGGUGACGCUGGAUCACUGGAGACUCACAUCAGACAGCUGGAUAAAGUUCUAAACACCAGCUGCUUCCAUCUGCAGCAGACGGAGAACAUCAUACGCAGCCGGACUCCCACCGGCCCUGAGCUGGACGCCACCUACAUGGGUUAUAUGCGUCUUCUUGAAGAAUGUCGUGGCAGUAUAGACGCAGUAAAGCGAGUGGGAUUUGAGCUGAAAGAAGAGGAAGACAAGAUAUCAGGUUUCGUCAACCCCAACAGCUCAGAGUCCCAAACUUCAGGUGUGAUCGAGCGCUGGGAGCUGCUGCAGGC
This is a long non-coding RNA of Sinocyclocheilus rhinocerous, 577 nucleotides long. RefSeq lists it as uncharacterized. The transcript has 3 exons. NCBI's taxonomy places the organism in Eukaryota, Metazoa, Chordata, Actinopteri, Cypriniformes, Cyprinidae. The record is from RefSeq and is a predicted model, not a curated record.